UGGGGAAUAUUGGACAAUGGGCGAAAGCCUGAUCCAGCCAUGCCGCGUGUGUGAAGAAGGCCUUUUGGUUGUAAAGCACUUUAAGCGAGGAGGAGGCUACUUAGAUUAAUACUCUAGGAUAGUGGACGUUACUCGCAGAAAAAGCACCGGCUAACUCUGUGCCAGCAGCCGCGGUAAUACAGAGGGUGCGAGCGUUAAUCGGAUUUACUGGGCGUAAAGCGUGCGUAGGCGGCUUUUUAAGUCGGAUGUGAAAUCCCUGAGCUUAACUUAGGAAUUGCAUUCGAUACUGGGAAGCUAGAGUAUGGGAGAGGAUGGUAGAAUUCCAGGUGUAGCGGUGAAAUGCGUAGAGAUCUGGAGGAAUACCGAUGGCGAAGGCAGCCAUCUGGCCUAAUACUGACGCUGAGGUACGAAAGCAUGGGGAGCAAACAGG
Molecule: ribosomal RNA, 430 nt
Filed under: bacterium
Lineage: Bacteria
Description: partial 16S ribosomal RNA
Rfam family: Bacterial small subunit ribosomal RNA
Source: RNAcentral